Anguilla rostrata (American eel) is the source of this 3652-nucleotide long non-coding RNA. RefSeq lists it as uncharacterized. The record is from RefSeq and is a predicted model, not a curated record. The transcript is spliced from 3 exons. NCBI's taxonomy places the organism in Eukaryota, Metazoa, Chordata, Actinopteri, Anguilliformes, Anguillidae.
CAAAGGUAAGCAAGCAUAAGAGAAGUUAAGCCUAUUCCAAAUGGGUUAUGUUUAUAAAAUGUCGAGGAAAAGCUGAUAUUUUUCAUUUUAUAAUAACUUAUCUUGUCUAUCUAUCUGUCUAUCAACAAAUCUAUCUAUCUAUAGAUAUAGAUAGAUCGAUAGAUAAAACGACGAAUAGAUAGAUAGAUAUUCUUUUUUAAAUUCACAUUUAUUUUGAAAUGUGAAUUAUGGCCAUGUAUGUGUUUUACCAUUUUCUGCUCAAAGUUGACGGUCACUUGCUACGCCCCUGAGUACAAGAUCGAUGCCAAGACAAGCACAACAUGAAAUUUGCAAUAAGACAAUACAGGCUUCGCCACUUGUCGAAAUGUUUUGGGAGGAAUUGCUGUAAAGUUUGUGGCUUUUGCUGCCAUCUCGUGGAUACAACUUCAACAUAGACAAAUUCAACAUUAAUUCCAUGAAACGUGCAAUAAGUGUUGUAUCAUAUUCAGUUGCAUAACAAAAUAAGAUGGAUGAUAGCAUCCAAGCAGAAGCCUGACUUUCUUAAGAUUGUUAUCAAUAAUACACCUGAAUUUAUUUAUUAUAGUGCAUUCUCACUAUGACAUGGUCAGAUUGCACAGGGACAUGGGAAUUGUUUAAUAGAUAAAUCUCAGCUCCUUUCAAACCUUUUUGCUCUACUGUGAGUGGGCUGAAUGAGGAAAGAAAAACUUUGCAUAUAUUUCCUCACAUACAUUAUACAUAUUAUUCUUUCAUACAUCUGAAUAUUGAAUGAGGAUAAAUGCAACCCAAGUUCUCCAUCCACACUGAAACCUGUAGCCUCCAAGUUAACCACCAGUACAUACUACCACCCUAAUCUGUUUAAAAACAAUUAGCUGAACAAAUACUUGUGUGCAUAUAUUUUGAGUAUUGAAACCACAGAAAAGUACUAAUCCCAGAGUAUGAACACAUUUAGUGAGCACAUCUCAGGGGGGUUCUGGUAAUUCAUUUUUCAUACUUACGCUUGAAACGUAAAUCUGAAAAACAACUCAAUGACAAUAUUGUAGGUACCAGCUGAACAAAAGUUUUUUGGGGGUUUUUUGUACCGUAAAAUUGAAUUCAUGUAGAGUGCUGGGAAUAACUAAGUGUCCCUCCUGCUACUUAUUUAUUUAUUUAUUUAUUUAUUUAUUUAUUUAUUUAUUUAUUUAUUUAUUUAUUUAUUUAUUUAUUUAUUUAUUUUUUAAAACAAAAUUUGAUUAUCACAUAAGUCCUAGUGAAGAUAAAAGGUGAUGUGCGGUGGUGGGAUUCACUUUUUCACAUCACUGUACAUUGUAUUUGGAAGUGUAAAUAAAGGAUCGGGCUAGAUUUUUCCAUCAAAAAUAGGUUUGUUAUCUUAUUUGAUUUUUUCCAUCCUAAAACAGUGACAAAAUGUGCCAAUUCUUUCUUCACAAAAUAGUGUAGUGCAAGGUGAGCUCAUACUACUGGAAUUGACUAGUGUCAUUAUUUGUUUUACAGUAGUAUUUUACGUUGUGUUUUAUCAUCCAGAACUUCUUGUCCAUUUUUAACUGCUGUGUAAAUAAAAUGACAGAUCUUUGCCCUCUCUCUCAGAUAUGUCUCAACUCCUACAGUCACAGGAUUAUGAGGUCAUCUAAACACCUUGGGUACUCAAUUCUAGACCAUUCCAGGUUCUCCAGACCGCACGUUGUAUCUGUGUAUGCAUCAAUGCUGUAUGUGUGGCACCAUGUAUGCAAAUAUGAAUGCAGACACUACAAUUCAUAAGCACACUGCAACCGUACAUACUUCGUUCCUUGAACAUUGAUACUGAAUGGAUAUUUUUGCUCAGCAGAGAUAUAACAAUGCUUGACUAUUUUUUUCUUCUCAGAAAGCAACACAAAUUGUAAUUUUCAUGGGUGGUAUCUGUGACAAAUUCUUAGUUGGAGCCUUGUUAACUUUAAGACAGAAAACUCCACACAAAUUCCAACAUAAAUGCAAAGUUUCAUUCUUGUCCCAGCCAAAUAUGGAAAAAUAAAAAUCCAUAAUAAAUGAUUAUAAUUAUUCCCAUUGCUGAAGACCAAAAUUAUGUUUUUAGGAAGCCGGGACAACAGAGCGUGGCCUGUUAUGAUGCCCUUCGAUUUUUUAUUCUAUUAGACUUUCAUUUGGACAGAUCAUAACCUCUGCAUUGAUCGGCCAUAAUCUACAGGAAAAUCACAUCUGCUGUUUUGAUAAACACAAGCCUAUUCCCCAGCUUUACCUUGAUUAUAUUAACCUAGGUCCAAAUCACCUUUGUGUAAUAUAACAGCAGACUUGCUUUACAAUCAUAUUACAGCUGACUGUACAGUUUUAGUAUGAACAACUUUUUAGUUUUAGUGGUGCUAUGUGUUUAAAGCUUUUCAACAUUCUUAAAGUUACGAGGAUUGUAAAUCGGUCAGGUGAGGCAGAAAUUACUGCCGGGAGUCAACAGUUCACCAUGUAUUACAUAUAUGUAAAAAAACAACAUGAUGAGUGAUAUUAAAGGCUAAUAUCAACAUAAAGCAUAUUGACAUUAUGAGUAUGUGCAAACACUCAUCUAAAAAACGAACAUUAAAACAAAUACAACCAUAUCAACAUGCAAAGUGCUGACUCGUUUCACUCGAAAACACACAGGUACAACUCUUGGUAAAGACUGGAUGCUGGACUUGUACACUUUGGACACCAUAUAUAAAAGGUGAUGGCAAGAGGGCUUAUUGGUUACAGGUCUAUGUGACCGGCUGUCUGUGUGGUAUUAUGCUUUCCCUCUGUUUGCCUUGGGUCUUUCUAUGCCUGGUUGUGAACAUGCAGGCUGAGAAACCUCGUCCGACUCCUUGCAAGCCACCACCACUCUUUGAAGGACAAUUUGUGGCUGCCACUAUGAAGUAACAAGCACAGAAGAUGGCUGCCUGCCCAUCGGCACCAAAUAUUACAAAGGGCCAGAGUGGCAUACCACGGUGUAAGUAACUGCUGUGCAUAUGUGUGUGCUGGCACAAUAGUGUUCCUGUGUCCAUCCCUCCAAGCCUACUUGAGUGUUUCUAUUCCGUAAUAGACAUUUGUUGGGUGUAUGGUAGUAAAGAAUGAGCAUCCCAACUGGAGGCACGAUUGCACAGAUCACAGAGAAUAUAUUACAUUUGUCUACCUGAACCAAGAUGUCCAGAGGUCACCACUGAUCACAUGAUUUAAACCUAUAAUGAGGCAGGCUCUUUUGCCACAGGACGCACCGUUCUGAACUGGUCCCAAUUUAUUUCUAGCUUCCAUGAUGUGGUAUAUGGCAUAAAAGACCCAAAUGUCUUUAUCCCUCCCUCCCUCUGCAAGACAAGCCAGGCAGAGAACUCAAAUGAGGUGGACGGCUGAGAUCUACUGUACAUUGUUCAACUGGCAUAAAUGCAAAUAGAAAACUAGCUCAUUUUGAUGAUUUAUCCAUAGUUGUAAGUUAGGUCUCCUACUUAAUGUAUGUUGCUGGCUCCCCAUCAGUCAAGUCCAAUAUAUCUAGACAAUGAAAGAAGGAAACUUCGUUAUGCAUGGGGUCUGUUCAGGAUUUAGGAUAUUUGACAAGGACAUGCUUGGAUCAUGUCCUGUAUUAAAAUAACUAAAACUAUUGUGGUGGCAAAGAGCUAUGCACAGGAUUAAAUAAAAUAAAUCAAAAAAUAAAACGCAUCAAAACAUACUG